This 4204-nucleotide long non-coding RNA is filed under the name Salmo salar (Atlantic salmon). RNAcentral describes it as "lncRNA (ENSSSAG00000117713.1)". Lineage: Eukaryota; Metazoa; Chordata; Actinopteri; Salmoniformes; Salmonidae. The record is from RNAcentral.
ACGUUGCCUUCUUAUACAGUCUUUUUUUUUUAUAUGUGAGAGUAUACUGUAUAGUAUGAAUUGUUUCGAAAGAGAAGACGUCUUAAAGAAACACGAGUUAGAUGUAAGAGAUCAAAACCAAGGCAUUAUGAAACGCCAGGUGUGGAGGGUGAGAGAUGAACACAAUACCAUCCUCUAAUCUGUCAUUAUACAAGUCUGGACCACAAUGAUGCUCUGUGAUCACUCCAUGUGGACACUAUGGAACAAAACGGAUAGAGUUUUUUUUUAUUACACCAUCUCUUUGUUUUAUUGGUCAUCAACAUCUGUUUCAUUGUUCAUUUCCAAAAUGUUACAAAAGAGGUAAGAGUAAAAAUAUACUAUAAAAUAUGCAUGCAAGCUUCCUAAGUGCUACAAUAACAAAAUGUUGAAGGAUAUUUGGAUAUGUAUGCCUGGUCCUAUAGACAUUCUUCAGUGGGCAUUCGAUACAGGAAACAACAAAAUUAAUUGUUUGAUUUUAUAAUAGUCAUUGUUAAAAUGCAUGAUACAAUUUGACCAUUUUAAACACAAUAUAACCACAAAUUUGAAAACGUAUUUCCAUUGUGGUCCUGAACAUACACAAAAACAAAAUAUACACAAGAUUAUAAACCGGGUAGUUUGUGUCCUGGAUAUUGACUUGCUGAAAGCCGGGGUAUAUUUAAGCAAUAAGGCCAGAGGGGGGUGGUAUAUGGCCAAUAUACUACAGCUAAGGGCUUUUCUUAAGCGCAAUGUGGCAUACCAUAGCUUCAAUGCCAUACAAAUCUCCUUCCGUGGCCUCCAACUGCUCUAAAUACAAGUAAAACUAAAUGCAUGCUCUUCAACCGAUCGCUGCCUGCACCUGCCCGCCCGUCCAGCAUCACUACUCUGGACGGUUCUGACUUAGAAUAUGUGGACAACUACAAAUACCUAGGUGUCUGGUUAGACUGUAAACUCUCCUUCCAUACUCACAUCAAACAUCUCCAAUCCAAAGUUAAAUCUAGAAUUGGCUUCCUAUUUUGCAACAAAGCAUCCUUCACUCAUGCUGCCAAACAUACCCUCGUAAAACUGACCAUCCUUUCAGAUCCUCGACUUCGGCGAUGUCAUUUACAAAAUAUCCUCCAAUACCCUACUCAAUAAAUUGGAAGCAGUCUAUCACAGUGCCAUCCGUUUUGUCACCAAAGCCCCAUAUACUACCCACCACUGCGACCUGAACGCUCUCGUUGGCUGGCCCUCGCUUCAUACUCGUCACCAAACCCACUGGCUCCAGGUCAUCUACAAGUCUCUGCUAGGUAAAGUCCCCCAUUAUCUCAGCUCGCUGGUCACCAUAGCAGCACCCACCUGUAGUACGCGCUCCAGCAGGUAUAUCUCACUGGUCACCCCCAAAGCCAAUUCCUCCUUCGGCCGCCUCUCCUUCCAGUUCUCUGCUGCCAAUGACCAGAACGAACUACAAAAAUCUCUGAAACUGGAAACACUUAUCUCCCUCACUAGCUUUAAGCAUCAGCUGUCAGAGCAGCUCACAGAUUACUGCACCUGUACAUAGCCCAUCUAUAAUUUAGCACAAACAACUACCUCUUCCCCUACUGUAUUUAUUUAUUUUGCUCCUUUGCACCCCAUUAUUUAUAUUUCUACUUUGCACUUUCUUCCACUGCAAAUCUACCAUUCCAGUGUUUUACUUGCUAUAUUGUAUGUACUUCCACCAUGGCCUUUUUUUGCCUUUAUCUCACCUCAUUUGCUCACAUUGUAUAUAGACUUAUUUUUCUACUGUAUUAUUGACUGUAUGUUUGUUUUACUCCAUGUGUAACUCUGUGUUGUUGUAUGUGUCAAACUGCUUUGCUUUAUCUUGGCCAGGUCGCAAUUGUAAAUGAGAACUUGUUCUCAACUUGCCUACCUGGUUAAAUAAAGGUGAAAUAAAAUAAAUAAAAAAAUGCAAUCCCACUGGGCAAAAACUGGGUCAAUCAACAUAGAUGUUUUUGUUGAAAUGACGUGGAAACAAUGUGAUGACGUUGAAUCUACGUGGGAAAAUGAUCGUAUUUGCAAAAUGUAUUCAACUUACAGGAUUCUUUGUGCCUAGUGUAAUCCUACUAUAGCACAGCAGUCUCAUAUUGGCAACACUGGCUCUGGUGUGAUGGAUAUGAGGGUCUAUAAUAACAUUUAAAUAACCAGACAAUACAAGAUACCAAACCACAGCUCACUAUAUACAAAUACACAACAAGCUCUACAAAAUUAAAUUAAAUUUCUCUUCUAAAUCUCUCAUACUAUCAACACCAAAGUGAGUUAUUGAACAGUUCCAUAUCAGAAUGAAUCCAUCAUUUUACUCCUUUGUCCAAGACAGUUUAGUAGACGGUGUCUUUUCAGAUAGUAAAGGCCUCUGAAAGUAUUUUUACAAACAUAGCAGGUAUGAUGUUUCUGCUUGGAGUGGCUCUGGAUGAGCUUUAGUAGGGCAGAUGCUUCAGACCAGCUCAGUUUCCACUUGGAGCUCUCAGAAACAUGGCUCUCUUGCUUGGGUGUGUUAUUGUGGCGGCAGGUGUUGAGGUACUCCAACCACUUGUUUCUAUGAUUUCGCUCAUGCUUCUUGAGGUGUUCUGCCAUGUGGAAUACUUUGUAACACAUUGAGCAUGAGAAGGGCCUUUCAGUAGAAUGUGUGUACUUGUGGUGCUUCAGAUGAUCCGCCCGGCUGAAGCUUAGGCCACACUCCUCACAUUGGAACACAUUGCCAGCCUUUGUGUGAGUGUGAUAUCUAUGUCUCCGGAGAGAGUUACGGUCCUUGAACGUUGUCCCACAAGCCUUACAAAGAUAACUUCUCAACAUUGUGUGCAUUUUACCGAGGUGGGUCUUUAAGUCCUCCUGCCGCCCUAAUGUAUCUCCAUAACAAUGACUAAGGUGAGGUUUCUCAUUGGUGUGCAGGUUCUCAUGCCGUCUCAAAUGCUCUCGCCUCUUGAACUUUGUACCGCAAUAUGAACAAACAUGGGGAGUUUUGUCCAAAUGGAUCAUUCUGUGUUUUCCCAGCUUUUCCCCAGUACUAAAUUUCUUGCCACACUGGUUGCAUGUAUAACCGUCUGGUCCUGGAUGAUCAACUUCAUGAUGCAACAUCAGUUCCUUUUGAUGUUCACAUCGCUUCUCACACAGUUGGCAGACGUGGUUUGUCACCUGAUGAGUCUUUUCAUGCGUCUGCAACUCUCCUGGAUCCCUGAAUCCAAUGCCACAAUCAAAACAGAUAAAGGAACUGCCAGAAUGAGAACAGCUGUGGCGCUUUAGGUGAUCCUUUCGGCCAAAGUCAAGGCCACAUUCUUCACAGUGGUGCAGCUUGGAGGCUUUUACGUUGCUCUCCCGAAUUCUCCUAGAGUCUUUGCGACCCUUUAAACAUUUUCCACAAAAAUUUAACGAAACAUGAUAUAUGAAACAGUCCCCACAAUCUUUGCAAAUAAAUUGUCUCGAUACAUCUUCCUCUGUCUCUCCUACAGUGUUUAAGUCUAUUUCAGUUGCCUCCAGAUCCCUUUGUGUCGGCAAGCCUUUCAAGGUGUCUUUAAUGAUACAUGUCCUGACAUUGCCUACUGCUUUUAGGGUUUUGCGGUAUUGGUCCGGGUGCAUUUCCCUGGCAUGAUUCUCAAACUCCAGUCCACUGGCAAGCUUUAGGACACAGAGUUGACAAUAGAAAAUAUCCCCCUGUUGGCUCAUCCUACUUGCCUCUAUGAAAGCCUUUACAUGCUUACGCAGGUGGAAGCACUUAUGCUUUUGGAAAAUAUCUGCCUUUUCAAAAUGACGGUCACAUUCACAGCACGUUAAAGAAAAUGUGUUUUUACGCAAGUCAUUUUCCCAAUGAUACAUUUUCUCAUGUUUGGUGCAAGCUUUAAGCUUGUUGAAUGCUCUACCACAAACUGGACAUCUAAUCUGUUGUUUCACUGCCGCUCCGUGCUCCUGUUUAGGCGGCACUAUUUCACUUUUGCCCUGUGCCCAAGCAUGUCUUUUCUGGUGUUUUUGGUAAGAUUUGAAAAACUUAAAAACCUUCCCACAGUCCAGACAAGGAAACAGAGGAGAACGUUUAGAGUCAGGCGGAAAAGGAGGAGAACGUUUAGAGUCAGAAGGAAAAGGAGGAGAACGUUUAGAGUCAGAAGGAAAAGGAGGAGAACGGUUAGAGUCAGAAGGAAAAGGAGGAGAACGGUUAGAGUCAGAAGGAAAAGGAGGAGAAACGGUUAGAGUCAGAAGGAAAAGG